This 205-nucleotide non-coding RNA is filed under the name Evansella sp. LMS18. RNAcentral describes it as "6S RNA". It matches the Rfam family "6S / SsrS RNA". From Rfam's summary of the family: E. coli 6S RNA was the first non coding RNA to be sequenced, but its function was unknown until recently. It consists of 184 nucleotides that fold into an extended hairpin structure with a large single-stranded internal bulge. The record is from RNAcentral. Lineage: Bacteria; Bacillati; Bacillota; Bacilli; Caryophanales; Bacillaceae.
UACUGCCUGCGGUGUUGGUGAACUUCGAGUUUAAUUCGAACCGAACACCAAUUCACAUUGGGAGCCUAAAAUUAGAACACGUACAGCAUGCCUGGUUAAUGGUACGUUCAGUACUUCGGCAGGAAGCUGGAAAUGUUUUUGAAGGCACCCACCUGCCUAGUGCGGGUUCGUGAAAUCUGGAAGAUAACCGCAUUGCGGGCAAACC